GAUGAAAACUGACAGCUGCCGAAGGCUGCAGCAGGUUCCUGGAGGACCCCCGGACAUCAGGAUGUUUUCAGUCCAGAACAAGGAGAAGAUUUUCCAUGAUAUCCUUUUGAAUCACUUCAAGGAAAAUAAAGUGGAGAUAGCAAGUGCAAUAACAAAGCCAUUUCCUUUCCUUGAGAGCCUCAGAGAUAGGUCCUUCAUCACCAAAAACAUCUAUAAUUGAUUUAGGACAAAUAUUUUUCCCAGGAAAGUGAUAGAGAAGAGAAGCCCCAAAUGCCCAGCUGUGAACAAGUGCCUGGUGAAUCCAAAGCUCUUGGAAUAAAAAAAGAGAGAAAGUCAGAAGAAUUUCACAGCCUGUUGCUGAACGGUAGACAAGGGACACAGUUAUCCAGAUGCAAAAAUCUAGCACAAUCUCACCUGUGGGUCUGGUGGAUAUGCAGAAGACAGUUUCACCUUGUUACCCAAAAAUCAACCGGCAAGAAAGCAGAGCUCGUGACCAAACACCUGAAAUAAUCGUGAUCAGCAGUGAAUCCAGUGAUGAAGACGAGCUCCCAAGGUCUUGAGCUCAACACCCCGUCAUGGGCCAGGUGAGGAGGAUGAGGAUGGCCAGCUUUGGGCUGCAGAACCUCAGGCAUCUGAAUUCAGAGCUCCUGUUUCCUGAUGCGUUUUACCUUGUGUGCACUUCACAGCCAACAGUCCAGCUAAUCCUGGGAACCCAUUCUCUGCAUUUACCGCAUGUGGCACUUUGGGACAUAAGGUAGGCAGGGCCCUAUUCAUUGAAUAUAUGUGUUCAUAUAUUGAUGUUAGAGUAGAAACAAGCUAGCAUAUUUGUUAUUUUUUUUUCCUUUCGCAUGAGCAUGCCUAUUGUGGUACUAUAAUAAAAAUUUGUAUUCGCUCCUUUCUCUAGUUCCUGGAACAGAACUCCCAAACCUUAGAAUUUCCUGAGUGAUGAAGUGUCUUUUGAAAACCAACCAUGUGAUUAGAGGAUUAGAACUUUUAGCUCCACUUCUUGACCUCUGGGGAAAAAACAAAGGAGGGAGAUUGAGUUCAUUCACCAGUGGCCGGUCAUUUAAUCAAUCAUGCCUACAUAUUGAAACCUCAGUAAGAACCCAUAAACAGGGUUCGGGGAGCCUCUGAGUUGGUGAAUACAUGGAUGUACUGUAAGGGUGCUGUGCUGGAGAGGGCAUGGAAGGUCUGCCCCUCCCCUUGUACCUUAUCCUGUUCAUCUGUUCCAUUUGGCUGUUUCUAAGUCAUAGUCUUUAUAA
Hippopotamus amphibius kiboko is the source of this 1262-nucleotide long non-coding RNA. RefSeq lists it as uncharacterized. The record is from RefSeq and is a predicted model, not a curated record. NCBI's taxonomy places the organism in Eukaryota, Metazoa, Chordata, Mammalia, Artiodactyla, Hippopotamidae. The transcript has 6 exons.